This 69-nucleotide transfer RNA is filed under the name Coturnix delegorguei (harlequin quail). Its description in RNAcentral is "tRNA-Pro". It matches the Rfam family "tRNA". From Rfam's summary of the family: Transfer RNA (tRNA) molecules are approximately 80 nucleotides in length. Their secondary structure includes four short double-helical elements and three loops (D, anti-codon, and T loops). The record is from RNAcentral. Lineage: Eukaryota; Metazoa; Chordata; Aves; Galliformes; Phasianidae.
CAGAAGGUAGUUUAUUUAAAAUACCAGCUUUGGGAGCUGGGGAUGGGGGUUUGAAUCCCCUCUUUCUGA